AUUGAACGCUGGCGGCAGGCCUAACACAUGCAAGUCGAACGGUAACAGGAAGCAGCUUGCUGCUUCGCUGACGAGUGGCGGACGGGUGAGUAAUGUCUGGGAAGCUGCCUGAUGGAGGGGGAUAACUACUGGAAACGGUAGCUAAUACCGCAUAAUGUCGCAAGACCAAAGAGGGGGACCUUCGGGCCUCUUGCCAUCGGAUGUGCCCAGAUGGGAUUAGCUUGUUGGUGGGGUAACGGCUCACCAAGGCGACGAUCCCUAGCUGGUCUGAGAGGAUGACCAGCCACACUGGAACUGAGACACGGUCCAGACUCCUACGGGAGGCAGCAGUGGGGAAUACUGCACAAUGGGCGCAAGCCUGAUGCAGCCAUGCCGCGUGUAUGAAGAAGGCCUUCGGGUUGUAAAGUACUUUCAGCGGGGAGGAAGGGAGUAAAGUUAAUACCUUGGCUCAUUGACGUUACCCGCAGAAGAAGCACCGGCUAACUCCGUG
This 490-nucleotide ribosomal RNA is filed under the name uncultured bacterium. RNAcentral's name for it is "partial 16S ribosomal RNA". It matches the Rfam family "Bacterial small subunit ribosomal RNA", at positions 30 to 507 of the family's 1533-position model. The record is from RNAcentral.